AUAGAACCGCAUGGUUUGAUUAUUAAAGAAUUUCGGUUAUCGAUGGGGAUGCGUUCCAUUAGGCAGUUGGUGGGGUAACGGCCCACCAAACCUUCGAUGGAUAGGGGUUCUGAGAGGAAGGUCCCCCACAUUGGAACUGAGACACGGUCCAAACUCCUACGGGAGGCAGCAGUGAGGAAUAUUGGUCAAUGGACGAGAGUCUGAACCAGCCAAGUAGCGUGAAGGAUGACUGCCCUAUGGGUUGUAAACUUCUUUUAUAUGGGAAUAAAGUGGUCCACGUGUGGAUUUUUGUAUGUACCAUAUGAAUAAGGAUCGGCUAACUCCGUGCCAGCAGCCGCGGUAAUACGGAGGAUCCGAGCGUUAUCCGGAUUUAUUGGGUUUAAAGGGAGCGUAGGUGGACAGUUAAGUCAGUUGUGAAAGUUUGCGGCUCAACCGUAAAAUUGCAGUUGAUACUGGCUGUCUUGAGUACAGUAGAGGUGGGCGGAAUUCGUGGUGUAGCGGUGAAAUGCUUAGAUAUCACGAAGAACUCCGAUUGCGAAGGCAGCUCACUGGACUGCAACUGACACUGAUGCUCGAAAGUGUGGGUAUCAAACAGGAUUAGAUACCCUGGUAGUCCACACAGUAAACGAUGAAUACUCGCUGUUUGCGAUAUACAGUAAGCGGCCAAGCGAAAGCAUUAAGUAUUCCACCUGGGGAGUACGCCGGCAACGGUGAAACUCAAAGGAAUUGACGGGGGCCCGCACAAGCGGAGGAACAUGUGGUUUAAUUCGAUGAUACGCGAGGAACCUUACCCGGGCUUAAAUUGCAUUUGAAUAAUCAAGAAAUUGGUUAGUCGUAAGACAAAUGUGAAGGUGCUGCAUGGUUGUCGUCAGCUCGUGCCGUGAGGUGUCGGCUUAAGUGCCAUAACGAGCGCAACCCUUAUCUUCAGUUACUAACAGGUCAUGCUGAGGACUCUGGAGAGACUGCCGUCGUAAGAUGUGAGGAAGGUGGGGAUGACGUCAAAUCAGCACGGCCCUUACGUCCGGGGCUACACACGUGUUACAAUGGGGGGUACAGAAGGCCGCUACCUGGUGACAGGAUGCUAAUCCCAAA
RNAcentral lists this ribosomal RNA (1092 nucleotides) under Bacteroides faecis. RNAcentral describes it as "bacterial SSU rRNA". It matches the Rfam family "Bacterial small subunit ribosomal RNA", at positions 180 to 1278 of the family's 1533-position model. The record is from RNAcentral. Lineage: Bacteria; Pseudomonadati; Bacteroidota; Bacteroidia; Bacteroidales; Bacteroidaceae.